UGGUCUAGCGGUUAAAACGCUGGCCUUGUAAUCCUGGGGUCUCGGGUUCGAUUCCCGG
This is a non-coding RNA of Zootermopsis nevadensis, 58 nucleotides long. The record is from Rfam. Lineage: Eukaryota; Metazoa; Arthropoda; Insecta; Blattodea; Termopsidae.